GAUGAACGCUAGCGGCAGGCCUAACACAUGCAAGUCGAGGGAGAAGCCCCUGCGUGGGCAGAGACCGGCGCACGGGUGCGUAACGCGUACGCAACCUACCCCUCACAGUGGGAUAGCGCGAAGAUAUGGGGACUAAUACUCCAUAAUAUUAGUGGAUGGUAUCACUUGAUAAUGAAAACUGAGUUGGUGAAAGAUGGGCAUGCGUCCUAUUAGCUAGGUGGGGUGGUACCGGCACGGCGAGGCUACGAUAGGAAGGGGUCCUGAGGGGGAGAUGCCCCACAGUGGGACCGGGACCGUGACCAGUCUGCUACGGGAGAGAGCCGUGAGGAAUAUUGGUGAAUGGUAGGAAGACUGAACCGGCCAUGCCGCAUGCAGGAAGAAUGCGUUCGGGGUGGUAAACUGCUUUUAGAUGGGAAGAAUAAGGUGUAAGUGUACAUUGGUGACGGUAACGGAUAAAUAAGCACCGGCUAACUACGUG
This 478-nucleotide ribosomal RNA is filed under the name uncultured bacterium. Its description in RNAcentral is "partial 16S ribosomal RNA". It matches the Rfam family "Bacterial small subunit ribosomal RNA", at positions 28 to 507 of the family's 1533-position model. The record is from RNAcentral.